GAGCUUGCUCUGGGGGAUCAGUGGCGAACGGGUGAGUAACACGUGGGCAACCUGCCCCAGACUCUGGGAUAACCUCGGGAAACCGAUGCUAAUACCGGAUACGACCACUUCGGACAUCCGACGGUGGUGGAAAGUUUUUCGGUCUGGGAUGGGCCCGCGGCCUAUCAGCUAGUUGGUGGGGUAAUGGCCUACCAAGGCGACACGGGUAGCCGGCCUGAGAGGGCGACCGGCCACACUGGAACUGAGACACGGUCCAGACUCCUACGGGAGGCAGCAGUGGGGAAUAUUGCACAAUGGGCGAAAGCCUGAUGCAGCGACGCCGCGUGAGGGACGACGGCCUUCGGGUUGUAAACCUCUUUCAGCAGGGACGAAGCGAAAGUGACUGUACCUGCAGAAGAAGCACCGGCUAACUACGUG
This 417-nucleotide ribosomal RNA is filed under the name uncultured bacterium. RNAcentral describes it as "bacterial SSU rRNA". It matches the Rfam family "Bacterial small subunit ribosomal RNA", at positions 76 to 507 of the family's 1533-position model. The record is from RNAcentral.